Molecule: long non-coding RNA, 1377 nt
Filed under: Anas platyrhynchos platyrhynchos (common mallard)
Lineage: Eukaryota; Metazoa; Chordata; Aves; Anseriformes; Anatidae
Description: lncRNA (ENSAPLG00000028871.1)
Source: RNAcentral
UGCAGCGGGACGGGGCCGCGCCGUCGGGGGGAUGCUGCUGGGCGGGAGGACGGCACCCGGGGAUUUUGGGGCAAGGGGGAGCGGAGCAGAGCGAGUCCGCGCGGUGCCCCCGGGCCCUCGAAGCGCACCCACACGCCCUUGAGCUGCUCCUGCCCGGCCGUGCGCCCACCUCCAGCACCGUCCGGCCCCGCUGGAAUCGGUUCUCAACGACUUUGGCGACAGAGAAAUGUUUUCCCACAUCGCUCUUAGCGGAAAAAAAAUAAAUGAAGACAAUAGAUAACCCCGCCUCGGUACGCAGCGCCUCGCCGGAGAUGGUCUUCGCCUGGCUCAAGGAGCAGAGGGCUCGUCCUUCCCUGCCGGUGCGAUGCAACCCGCUCGCUGAAGCGCUGCCAGGAUGCCCUGAUGCUUCAGGAAAGAGUCGACGGCACACACGCAGAGGAAAAAAACGGCUGCAAAACCUCUCUCAGGGGCACUCACCCUAUAUAUAAUAUAUAAAAAAGGUCUCCCGGGUGGGAUUGCCUCCCACGGGGAGAAGGCGACGCUCCAGCUUUUCCUCCAGGACUCGUCCCUAUUUUACCUCCCGACGUGCUUACAGAAAUACAGAGCCUCCUGCCGGGUCUCGCAGGGGCGCGGGUGGAAGAUGGCCAUGGCACAAACGGGGAUUCCUCCUGCAAGGGGGUUUCACCCCCCUCCGACCCUGCUGCUGGCGGGGAAGAUGUGGUUCGUGGCUUUCACCUCGGCCGUGCCUCUCCCUGGCUGCGCACCAAACGAAUGUAAAGGUGCCCUGGGCAGCUCGCUGGUUUUGCAGGAAAAUCUCAAGUCGUCUGCUUUUGAACGGGUUUCGACCCAAUUUCUUAACUAAUAACAGCCUAUUUCCAGGCAGAUGUAACCGCAGCUGUAACUGCGUGCCUCUGAGACAAGCCCCAGGCAGGAUUCGUCCAUAUGUGCCCGGGGGACCUCGCGUAAGCCUCUCCUGCAGCACUCAGCCCCCAAAUCGCUUUGUAAAUUACGUCAGGAGCCUGCUGAGGUGUCGAGAGUGAGAUGUUUAUGGACUGCAGGGACAGAAGGAUAUGCCACCUACAAUUUGGUGGGGAAAAAAAAUAAUGCUUUUUGGAACCCAACCGAAUAUUAAGCCCGGAGAAUGUGCAAAUAUAACGCUGACAGCGAAGGGUUUAAUUUUACCGACUUGACAAACUCUUAGCAAAUUAGCUCAGCGGGUUUUAAUAGCUGGCAGGCAAUCCCCUUCUUCUCCCAUAGUCCUUUUAUGGGGAAAAACCCGUGUCCUUUAGGGCUGGGAGGCUGCGAUGCGAGCAUUCCUGUAGCCUCUUGCAGCCGAACGGGAAUAAAUGCUCGGGGCUUGGGUCGUGUGCGCGGGGU